RNAcentral lists this ribosomal RNA (706 nucleotides) under Pygoscelis adeliae (Adelie penguin). RNAcentral's name for it is "partial 12S ribosomal RNA". It matches the Rfam family "Bacterial small subunit ribosomal RNA", at positions 25 to 1205 of the family's 1533-position model. Lineage: Eukaryota; Metazoa; Chordata; Aves; Sphenisciformes; Spheniscidae. The record is from RNAcentral.
UACCGUUAAUUUCUGCUAAACAUAUACAUGCAAGUAUCUGCGCCCCAGUGUAAAUGCCCCAACGCUCUUAUUAACUAGACAAAGGGAGCGGGCAUCAGGCUCGCCCAUUGCUGCAGCCCAAGACGCCUUGCUUAGCCACACCCCCACGGGUACUCAGCAGUAAUUAGUAUUAAGCAAUAAGUGAAAACUUGACUUAGUUAUAGCAGCACUCAGGGUUGGUAAAUCUUGUGCCAGCCACCGCGGUCACACAAGAGACCCAAAUUAACUGUCACACGGCGUAAAGAGUGGUACCAUGCUAUCCUGACAACUAAGAUCAAAAUACAGCUAAGCUGUCAUAAGCCCAAGAUGUAUUUAAAAACACCUCCAAGAUGAUCUUAGCAGCCCCGACUAAUUAAACUCCACGAAAGCUAGGACACAAACUGGGAUUAGAUACCCCACUAUGCCUAGCCCUAAAUCUUGAUACCUUCCAUCACCAAAGUAUCCGCCUGAGAACUACGAGCACAAACGCUUAAAACUCUAAGGACUUGGCGGUGCCCCAGACCCACCUAGAGGAGCCUGUUCUAUAAUCGAUAACCCACGAUGCACCCGACCACUCCUUGCCAAAGCAGCCUAUAUACCGCCGUCGCCAGCUCACCUCGCCUGAAAGAACAACAGUGAGCAUAAUAGCCCCAACCCCGCUAACAAGACAGGUCAAGGUAUAGCCUAU